CAUUAGAUAGUGAAAUGGCCAGGAGAUUAGUCAACAGUAUUUUUCAGUAAAGUGUAUUAUUGCUGUAACACUUUUGUUGACAUUGUAAAUAUUUGCUUAUUCUGAUAAUGUCACUCAUGUAUGAAUUUUAUUAUUAUUUUUAUCAGAUUGCUAUAUACAAUUGUUUUUAACAAAUAUUGAACAUUAAGCCUAAAAGGAACGAUAUUAAUGCUUUGUAAUUGUUAUUGUGAGGACACAAUUUCAAAGUAAGGGGAGACAAUCAACAAUGAUAAGUAACCUGGGUAUUAUGUGGUAACCGCUGCUUGGCUGUUUUUCUAAGUAACCAGCACCAGUCAGAGAGAAUGAGUGAAAGUGUAGACAUGACGUUCAUUCCAUAAAUGGACGUGAUUAUCAUUCUACACGUUUAACUUUGAUUCUACGAUGUACGUUAUGGCCUCUUAAGUGUUCUACAAUGUAUUAGCUUAGCAAGUAUUAUUAAAGGAACUGUGAACCUA
Long non-coding RNA from Mercenaria mercenaria, 494 nucleotides. RefSeq lists it as uncharacterized. NCBI's taxonomy places the organism in Eukaryota, Metazoa, Mollusca, Bivalvia, Venerida, Veneridae. The transcript is spliced from 3 exons. The record is from RefSeq and is a predicted model, not a curated record.